GAUGAACGCUGGCGGCGUGCCUAACACAUGCAAGUCGAACGGAGAUUACAGACGGAAGUUUUCGGAUGGAAGUUUGUAAUUCUUAGUGGCGGACGGGUGAGUAACGCGUGGGCAACCUGCCCUAUACAGGGGGAUAGCAGCUGGAAACGGCUGGUAAGACCGCAUAAGUCGGCGAGACCGCAUGGUUUUGUCGGGAAAUGAGCAAUCAGGUAUAGGAUGGGCCCGCGUCCGAUUAGCCAGUUGGCAGGGUAAAAGCCUACCAAAGCGACGAUCGGUAGCCGGACUGAGAGGUCGGACGGCCACAUUGGGACUGAGACACGGCCCAAACUCCUACGGGAGGCAGCAGUGGGGGAUAUUGCACAAUGGAGGAAACUCUGAUGCAGCGACGCCGCGUGAGUGAAGAAGUAUUUCGGUAUGUAAAGCUCUAUCAGCAGGGAAGAUGAUGACGGUACCUGACUAAGAAGCCCC
RNAcentral lists this ribosomal RNA (468 nucleotides) under Catonella morbi. Its description in RNAcentral is "bacterial SSU rRNA". It matches the Rfam family "Bacterial small subunit ribosomal RNA", at positions 28 to 494 of the family's 1533-position model. The record is from RNAcentral. Lineage: Bacteria; Bacillati; Bacillota; Clostridia; Lachnospirales; Lachnospiraceae.